RNAcentral lists this ribosomal RNA (810 nucleotides) under Rhodococcus sp. POB2-11_Pa. Its description in RNAcentral is "bacterial SSU rRNA". It matches the Rfam family "Bacterial small subunit ribosomal RNA", at positions 61 to 887 of the family's 1533-position model. The record is from RNAcentral. Lineage: Bacteria; Bacillati; Actinomycetota; Actinomycetes; Mycobacteriales; Nocardiaceae.
GUCGAGCGGUAAGGCCUUUCGGGGUACACGAGCGGCGAACGGGUGAGUAACACGUGGGUGAUCUGCCCUGCACUUCGGGAUAAGCCUGGGAAACUGGGUCUAAUACCGGAUAUGACCUCCUGUUGCAUGACGGGUGGUGGAAAGAUUUAUCGGUGCAGGAUGGGCCCGCGGCCUAUCAGCUUGUUGGUGGGGUAAUGGCCUACCAAGGCGACGACGGGUAGCCGACCUGAGAGGGUGACCGGCCACACUGGGACUGAGACACGGCCCAGACUCCUACGGGAGGCAGCAGUGGGGAAUAUUGCACAAUGGGCGAAAGCCUGAUGCAGCGACGCCGCGUGAGGGAUGACGGCCUUCGGGUUGUAAACCUCUUUCAGCAGGGACGAAGCGCAAGUGACGGUACCUGCAGAAGAAGCACCGGCUAACUACGUGCCAGCAGCCGCGGUAAUACGUAGGGUGCAAGCGUUGUCCGGAAUUACUGGGCGUAAAGAGUUCGUAGGCGGUUUGUCGCGUCGUUUGUGAAAACCAGCAGCUCAACUGCUGGCUUGCAGGCGAUACGGGCAGACUUGAGUACUGCAGGGGAGACUGGAAUUCCUGGUGUAGCGGUGAAAUGCGCAGAUAUCAGGAGGAACACCGGUGGCGAAGGCGGGUCUCUGGGCAGUAACUGACGCUGAGGAACGAAAGCGUGGGUAGCGAACAGGAUUAGAUACCCUGGUAGUCCACGCCGUAAACGGUGGGCGCUAGGUGUGGGUUCCUUCCACGGAAUCCGUGCCGUAGCUAACGCAUUAAGCGCCCCGCCUGGGGAGUACGGCC